ACACAUGCAAGUCGAGGGGCAGCAUGGUCUUAUCUUGCUAAGGCCGAUGGCGACCGGCGCACGGGUGAGUAACACGUAUCCAACCUGCCGUCUACUCUUGGACAGCCUUCUGAAAGGAAGAUUAAUACAAGAUGGCAUCAUGAGUCCGCAUGUUCACAUGAUUAAAGGUAUUCCGGUAGACGAUGGGGAUGCGUUCCAUUAGAUAGUAGGCGGGGUAACGGCCCACCUAGUCUUCGAUGGAUAGGGGUUCUGAGAGGAAGGUCCCCCACAUUGGAACUGAGACACGGUCCAAACUCCUACGGGAGGCAGCAGUGAGGAAUAUUGGUCAAUGGGCGAGAGCCUGAACCAGCCAAGUAGCGUGAAGGAUGACUGCCCUAUGGGUUGUAAACUACUUUUAUAAAGGAAUAAAGUCGGGUAUGGAUACCCGUUUGCAUGUACUUUAUGAAUAAGGAUCGGCUAACUCCGUGCCAGCAGCCGCGGUAAUACGGAGGAUCCGAGCGUUAUCCGGAUUUAUUGGGUUUAAAGGGAGCGUAGAUGGAUGUUUAAGUCAGUUGUGAAAGUUUGCGGCUCAACCGUAAAAUUGCAGUUGAUACUGGAUAUCUUGAGUGCAGUUGAGGCAGGCGGAAUUCGUGGUGUAGCGGUGAAAUGCUUAGAUAUCACGAAGAACUCCGAUUGCGAAGGCAGCCUGCUAAGCUGCAACUGACAUUGAGGCUCGAAAGUGUGGGUAUCAAACAGGAUUAGAUACCCUGGUAGUCCACACGGUAAACGAUGAAUACUCGCUGUUUGCGAUAUACUGCAAGCGGCCAAGCGAAAGCGUUAAGUAUUCCACCUGGGGAGUACGCCGGCAACGGUGAAACUCAAAGGAAUUGACGGGGGCCCGCACAAGCGGAGGAACAUGUGGUUUAAUUCGAUGAUACGCGAGGAACCUUACCCGGGCUUAAAUUGCAGAUGAAUUACGGUGAAAGCCGUAAGCCGCAAGGCAUCUGUGAAGGUGCUGCAUGGUUGUCGUCAGCUCGUGCCGUGAGGUGUCGGCUUAAGUGCCAUAACGAGCGCAACCCUUGUUGUCAGUUACUAACAGGUUCCGCUGAGGACUCUGACAAGACUGCCAUCGUAAGAUGUGAGGAAGGUGGGGAUGACGUCAAAUCAGCACGGCCCUUACGUCCGGGGCUACACACGUGUUACAAUGGGGGGUACAGAGGGCCGCUACCACGCGAGUGGAUGCCAAUCCCCAAAACCUCUCUCAGUUCGGACUGGAGUCUGCAACCCGACUCCACGAAGCUGGAUUCGCUAGUAAUCGCGCAUCAGCCACGGCGCGGUGAAUACGUUCCCGGGCCUUGUACACACCGCCCGUCAAGCCAUGGGAGCCGGGGGUACCUGAAGUGCGUAACCGCGAGGAGCGCCCUAGGGUAAAACUGGUGACUGGGGCUAAAUC
RNAcentral lists this ribosomal RNA (1432 nucleotides) under uncultured bacterium. Its description in RNAcentral is "bacterial SSU rRNA". It matches the Rfam family "Bacterial small subunit ribosomal RNA". The record is from RNAcentral.